Molecule: ribosomal RNA, 722 nt
Filed under: uncultured bacterium
Lineage: Bacteria
Description: bacterial SSU rRNA
Rfam family: Bacterial small subunit ribosomal RNA
Source: RNAcentral
AGAGUUUGAUCAUGGCUCAGAACGAACGCUGGCGGCAUGCCUAACACAUGCAAGUCGAACGAACCCUUCGGGGUUAGUGGCGCACGGGUGCGUAACGCGUGGGAACCUGCCUUUAGGUUCGGAAUAACUCAGAGAAAUUUGAGCUAAUACCGGAUAAUGUCUUCGGACCAAAGAUUUAUCGCCUUUAGAUGGGCCCGCGUUAGAUUAGAUAGUUGGUGGGGUAAUGGCCUACCAAGUCGACGAUCUAUAGCUGGUCUGAGAGGAUGAUCAGCCACACUGGGACUGAGACACGGCCCAGACUCCUACGGGAGGCAGCAGUGGGGAAUAUUGGACAAUGGGCGAAAGCCUGAUCCAGCAAUGCCGCGUGAGUGAUGAAGGCCUUAGGGUUGUAAAGCUCUUUUACUAGGGAUGAUAAUGACAGUACCUAGAGAAUAAGCUCCGGCUAACUCCGUGCCAGCAGCCGCGGUAAUACGGAGGGAGCUAGCGUUGUUCGGAAUUACUGGGCGUAAAGCGCACGUAGGCGGCUUACCAAGUCAGGGGUGAAAUCCCGGAGCUCAACUCCGGAACUGCCCUUGAAACUGGUAAGCUAGAAUCUUGGAGAGGCGAGUGGAAUUCCGAGUGUAGAGGUGAAAUUCGUAGAUAUUCGGAAGAACACCAGUGGCGAAGGCGACUCGCUGGACAAGUAUUGACGCUGAGGUGCGAAAGCGUGGGGAGCAAACAGG